GACGAACGCUGGCGGCGUGCCUAAUACAUGCAAGUAGAACGCUGAAGAGAGGAGCUUGCUCUUCUUGGAUGAGUUGCGAACGGGUGAGUAACGCGUAGGUAACCUGCCUUGUAGCGGGGGAUAACUAUUGGAAACGAUAGCUAAUACCGCAUAACAAUGGAUGACACAUGUCAUUUAUUUGAAAGGGGCAAUUGCUCCACUACAAGAUGGACCUGCGUUGUAUUAGCUAGUAGGUGAGGUAAUGGCUCACCUAGGCGACGAUACAUAGCCGACCUGAGAGGGUGAUCGGCCACACUGGGACUGAGACACGGCCCAGACUCCUACGGGAGGCAGCAGUAGGGAAUCUUCGGCAAUGGGGGCAACCCUGACCGAGCAACGCCGCGUGAGUGAAGAAGGUUUUCGGAGCGUAAAGCUCUGUUGUAAGUCAAGAACGGGUGUGAGAGUGGAAAGUUCACACUGUGACGGUAGCUUACCAGAAAGGGACGGCUAACUACGUG
RNAcentral lists this ribosomal RNA (497 nucleotides) under uncultured bacterium. RNAcentral describes it as "partial 16S ribosomal RNA". It matches the Rfam family "Bacterial small subunit ribosomal RNA", at positions 28 to 507 of the family's 1533-position model. The record is from RNAcentral.